GAGGGUGCAGCUCAGUGGUAGAGUGCGUGCUUAGCAUGCAUGAGGCCCUGGGUUCAAUCCCCAGUACCUGCA
Molecule: transfer RNA, 72 nt
Filed under: Camelus bactrianus (Bactrian camel)
Lineage: Eukaryota; Metazoa; Chordata; Mammalia; Artiodactyla; Camelidae
Also listed under: 2 other names
Rfam family: tRNA
About the family: Transfer RNA (tRNA) molecules are approximately 80 nucleotides in length. Their secondary structure includes four short double-helical elements and three loops (D, anti-codon, and T loops).
Source: Rfam by way of RNAcentral